AGAGUUUGAUUAUGGCUCAGGAUGAACGCUAGCUACAGGCUUAACACAUGCAAGUCGAGGGGCAGCAUGAACUUAGCUUGCUAAGUUGAUGGCGACCGGCGCACGGGUGAGUAACGCGUAUCCAACCUUCCCCUUAGUAGGGCAUAGCCCGUAGAAAUGCGGAUUAAUACCCUAUGUUAUUCGUCGAGGACAUCUGAAGUGAAUCAAAGGUUUACCGCUAAGGGAUGGGGAUGCGUCUGAUUAGGCAGCAGGCGGGGUAACGGCCCACCUGGCCUACGAUCAGUAGGGGUUCUGAGAGGAAGGUCCCCCACAUUGGAACUGAGACACGGUCCAAACUCCUACGGGAGGCAGCAGUGAGGAAUAUUGGUCAAUGGGCGAGAGCCUGAACCAGCCAAGUAGCGUGCAGGAUGACGGCCCUAUGGGUUGUAAACUGCUUUUAUGCGGGGAUAAAGUUCACUACGUGUAGUGUUUUGUAGGUACCGCAUGAAUAAGGACCGGCUAAUUCCGUGCCAGCCGCUGC
RNAcentral lists this ribosomal RNA (520 nucleotides) under uncultured bacterium. RNAcentral describes it as "bacterial SSU rRNA". It matches the Rfam family "Bacterial small subunit ribosomal RNA", at positions 8 to 518 of the family's 1533-position model. The record is from RNAcentral.